RNAcentral lists this long non-coding RNA (271 nucleotides) under Homo sapiens (human). RNAcentral's name for it is "non-protein coding lnc-CGA-2:8". Lineage: Eukaryota; Metazoa; Chordata; Mammalia; Primates; Hominidae. The record is from RNAcentral.
AGUCCACGAAGUCUUCUACGGACAUAUCCUCCUGUUCCCCAAGAGGAUGGCACAGGGAGAGUUCUGAGUGGUCUCGGGCAAUGGCUGCAUUUGCUGUUGGCCUGUAAGCAGGCCAGAAGCAGAGGAAGAGAGAGAAGGCACUACUUGGUUUGGGACAAGUCAGAGGCGAAUAAAAGCUCUUCCUGCCUUGAAGAAGCUUACAGUUUUGUGGGAAAAUGAUCUGCAAUGGGAAUACAUACGAUAUGACAAAUGUUCUAUUAUGAAAAUGCAU